GCGUGGUUGGUGAAGUGGUUAACACGGCGGAUUGUGGUUCCGUUAUGCAAGGGUUCGAUCCCCUUACCGCGCCCCA
Molecule: transfer RNA, 76 nt
Filed under: Bacilli bacterium
Lineage: Bacteria; Bacillati; Bacillota; Bacilli
Also listed under: 1 other name
Description: tRNA-His
Rfam family: tRNA
About the family: Transfer RNA (tRNA) molecules are approximately 80 nucleotides in length. Their secondary structure includes four short double-helical elements and three loops (D, anti-codon, and T loops).
Source: RNAcentral